Molecule: transfer RNA, 76 nt
Filed under: Sphingomonas sp.
Lineage: Bacteria; Pseudomonadati; Pseudomonadota; Alphaproteobacteria; Sphingomonadales; Sphingomonadaceae
Description: tRNA-Lys
Rfam family: tRNA
About the family: Transfer RNA (tRNA) molecules are approximately 80 nucleotides in length. Their secondary structure includes four short double-helical elements and three loops (D, anti-codon, and T loops). Further hydrogen bonds mediate the characteristic L-shaped molecular structure. tRNAs have two regions of fundamental functional importance: the anti-codon, which is responsible for specific mRNA codon recognition, and the 3' end, to which the tRNAs corresponding amino acid is attached (by aminoacyl-tRNA synthetases). tRNAs cope with the degeneracy of the genetic code in two manners: having more than one tRNA (with a specific anti-codon) for a particular amino acid; and 'wobble' base-pairing, i.e. permitting non-standard base-pairing at the 3rd anti-codon position.
Source: RNAcentral
CCGUCCGUAGCUCAGUCGGUAGAGCAAGCGACUUUUAAUCGAGAGGUCCCGGGUUCGAGCCCCGGCGGACCCACCA